NAGUUUUCCACCACAGAUUCCUUUGCCUGUUGUCCAACAAACCCCUCUGAAUCACCGAGUGCUCUGUUCUCCAUGAAAAGGAAAAUCAGCCGGCAAAUCGGGCUCGGGAUCCGAAGGGAUCCCACAUUUUUCGGGCAGGGCUGGCUGGAGCCUCAUUCCAGGCCUGGAAUUUCCAGUUGUUUUUCCAUGUUUCCCUUGUUGUGUAGGUACAGCAGAUUUUGGUUGGCAAUCAGAUGUGGUUUGGUUUUCCUACCUGGCUCUGGGUUACAGGAAAUUCCUUGGGAAUUCCAGUGGCUUCCAGCAGGAGCCUCCCUCCUCAAUCCUUGUUAUUCUUGGGAAAACCAAGGGGCUGGAAUUUGCUCUGCUGUUGUGACAUGGGGAGAAUUUGGAUAUCAAACGUUGCUGUAUCCUGAAGGGCACACCCAACAUUCCCACCGGGAAAAUGGGAUGUCCUGGGGAGGUUUUGUUGGGUUGAAAGGGCGUGCAAAGGCUGGAAGCGUUCUCCAGGUGUAUCCAGAGAAUCCUGCCUUUUCCUGCUGUGCCAAAGUCCCUAAAAUCCCACAGAAAAAGAGGCUUUUUCCUUCCCUUCUCCUUUCUGAUCCCGCUUGUUGCAAGAGCAUCCCAUGGAGUUCCACCCUGGGAAUUUUACCUGGAGAAAAGGGAAAAGUUGUCUCGUUCAGAAUGUGGAGAUUCCAAGUGUGUGAGCACCCUGGGAUACUCAGGGUGGGAAAAAAAGCCUUUCUGGGGAUGGGAAUGCAGCAUUUUGCUGCCAAGCUGGAGAGGGCUGAGGGUAAUUUUGUGGAAGAAUUUGGAUUGGAGUGUUCUCUCCCUUUCCCAUCUCUCCAGGAUUGGCUGUAAUCCAUCACUCUGAUUGCCUUUCCCUGGUCAGCGGGAUUUAUAUCCUCUUCUCUCUCAUAUUUAAAAGAUUGUAGGUGCAACCUUUCUUUUUCAUUUUGAUUAGGAGUCUUCUUUUCCUGCUCCUGGAAAGGUCACGGUGUCCCUUUUCCCAAAGCUGGGAGUACAUUUCAAUUUGGGAGCAUUACAGCAGGAAUGGGAGGCAGCUCUCCUGGAUUUCAGUGAAUUUUCCCUGAAUUUGUUAUUCCAGUGCCCAGGCUCGGCUGAUGCUGAUGGGAAAGAGUUUUGUGGGUGGACAGAGCUGAUCCUCUAAACUUCAAAGCA
RNAcentral lists this long non-coding RNA (1179 nucleotides) under Parus major (Great Tit). Its description in RNAcentral is "lncRNA (ENSPMJG00000013885.1)". The record is from RNAcentral. Lineage: Eukaryota; Metazoa; Chordata; Aves; Passeriformes; Paridae.